GACGAACGCUGGCGGCGUGCCUAAUACAUGCAAGUAGAACGCUGAAGGCCGGGCUUGCGUCUGUGGAUGAGUAGCGAACGGGUGAGUAACGCGUAGGUAACCUGCCGGGUAGCGGGGGAUAACCCGUGGAAACGGUAGCUAAUACAUGAUAACCGUCGAUAGUGAAUGAGAUGUGCAAGAAAGGUGCAAUUACAUCACAACCAGAGGAGCCGGCGUCGUAUUUGCUUGUUGGGGGGGUAACGGCUCACCAAGGCGACGAGACAUAGCCGGCCUGACAGGGGGGUCGGCCACACUGGGACUGAGACACGGCCCAGACUCCUACGGGAGGCAGCAGUAGGGAAUCUUCGGCAAUGGGCGGAAGUCUGACCGAGCAACGCCGCGUGGGUGACGAAGAUUUUCGGGUCGUAAAGCUCUGUCGUGAGAGAAGAACGCGUGUCGGAGUGGAAAGUUCAGACUGUGACGGUAUCGUACAAGAAAGCCCCGGCUAACUCCGUG
RNAcentral lists this ribosomal RNA (495 nucleotides) under uncultured bacterium. RNAcentral describes it as "partial 16S ribosomal RNA". It matches the Rfam family "Bacterial small subunit ribosomal RNA", at positions 28 to 507 of the family's 1533-position model. The record is from RNAcentral.